RNAcentral lists this ribosomal RNA (470 nucleotides) under uncultured bacterium. Its description in RNAcentral is "bacterial SSU rRNA". It matches the Rfam family "Bacterial small subunit ribosomal RNA", at positions 10 to 503 of the family's 1533-position model. The record is from RNAcentral.
UGUUUGAUCCUGGCUCAGGACGAACGCUGGCGGCGUGCCUAACACAUGCAAGUCGGACGGGCAUCAGGUGGAAGCUUGCUGAAGCCUGAUGUUAGUGGCGGACGGGUGAGUGAUGCGUGAGGACCUAUCCGGAGGAGGGGGACAACAGUUGGAAACGACUGCUAAGACCCCAUAAGCCGAGGGGUGAAAGGGAGCGAUCCGCUUCCGGAGGGACUCGCGGGCUAUCAGCUUGUUGGUGGGGUAAGGGCCUACCAAGGCGAAGACGGCAAGCCGGCCUGAGAGGGCGACCGGCACACUGGAACUGAGAUACGGUCCAGACUCCUACGGGAGGCAGCAGUGGGGAAUAUUGGGCAAUGGGGGAAACCCUGACCCAGCGACGCCGCGUGGAGGAAGAAGUCCCUCGGGAUGUAAACUCCUGUUGUGUGGGAAGAAGCGAGUGACCGUACCACACGAGGAGCCCCGCAAAUCUG